This 492-nucleotide ribosomal RNA is filed under the name uncultured bacterium. RNAcentral describes it as "partial 16S ribosomal RNA". It matches the Rfam family "Bacterial small subunit ribosomal RNA", at positions 29 to 507 of the family's 1533-position model. The record is from RNAcentral.
AGUGAACGCUGGCGGUAGGCCUAACACAUGCAAGUCGAACGGCAGCACAGUAAGAGCUUGCUCUUACGGGUGGCGAGUGGCGGACGGGUGAGGAAUACAUCGGAAUCUACUUUUUCGUGGGGGAUAACGUAGGGAAACUUACGCUAAUACCGCAUACGACCUACGGGUGAAAGCAGGGGAUCUUCGGACCUUGCGCGAUUGAAUGAGCCGAUGUCGGAUUAGCUAGUUGGCGGGGUAAAGGCCCACCAAGGCGACGAUCCGUAGCUGGUCUGAGAGGAUGAUCAGCCACACUGGAACUGAGACACGGUCCAGACUCCUACGGGGGGCAGCAGUGGGGAAUAUUGGAUAAUGGGCGCAAGCCUGAUCCAGCCAUACCGCGUGGGUGAAGAAGGCCUUCGGGUUGUAAAGCCCUUUUGUUGGGAAAGAAAAGCAGCAGGUUAAUACCCCGCUGUUCUGACGGUACCCAAAGAAUAAGCACCGGCUAACUUCGUG